CUCUCUUUCUCUCAAAACUCUUCCAUCCUCACAUUGUUCUUUUCCUAAUUUAGCAUGGACUCUGCGGUUAAUGUUCCCAGAUGGACACCAAAACCAAGCACAGUUAGAUCACCUCUAAAAAAGCCUACAGCAAGAGUAGACGACGAGUUAGAGUUGCAAAGCAUGGCUUCUGACGAAGAUGACAAGUCCCUUAGCAUGGACACAGUACUAUUCCCAUUUAGCACUGGCUUUGCUAUUGAUGGUCGUGAUCAUCAUCAUCAUCCGACUCUCGAUUCUUCAGGUCGAUAUAAAAAACCAUCUCUAGAUAAGAUUGAGAUGGAAGCAACUGUCGGGCUAAUAAAUGAAGACAAGAAGCAGCAGUUUUCAUCCAAUGGAAGAAAUGGCGAUGGCAUUUUCUGUACGUGGAAGGAUUUGUCGGUUACAGUAGGUGAUGGGAAAAAUGGCCGCCGGGUAAUCCUGCAAGGGCUAACAGGGUAUGCUCAGCCGGGGGACGUGUUAUGCGUCAUGGGCCCUUCAGGCUGCGGCAAGUCCACUCUUCUAGAUGCAUUGGCAGGGAGAUUAAGUUCCAAUACACAGCAAACUGGAGAGAUCCUAAUCAAUGGUCACAAGGUGACACUUGCCUUUGGAACUUCGGCGUACGUGACUCAAGAUGAUACUCUAAUGACAACAUUAACAGUAAGGGAAGCUGUGUACUAUUCAGCACAGCUUCAACUACCAGACUUCAUGUCAAUAUCUGAAAAGAAACAAAGAGCCGAGAUGACAAUAAGGGAGAUGGGCUUGCAAGACUCUGUUGACACUAGAAUUGGAGGGUGGAGCACAAAAGGCCUUAGCGGUGGACAAAAGAGAAGAGUCAGCAUUUGCAUUGAAAUCUUGACUCGCCCCAAGCUUCUGUUUCUUGAUGAGCCUACCAGUGGACUAGACAGUGCAGCAUCUUACCAUGUCAUGAAACGUAUUGUGAGGCUUGCUAAGCGAGAUGGAAGGACUGUUAUUGCUUCAAUUCAUCAACCUAGCAGUGAAGUUUUUGAGCUAUUCCACAAUCUUUGCCUCCUCUCUUAUGGCAGAACAGUCUAUUUUGGUCCUGUUUCAAUUGCAGAAAAGUUUUUUUCCUCGAAUGGCUUCCCUUGCCCUUCUCUCAGGAACCCAUCAGAUCACUACCUUAGGACCAUAAACAAGGACUUCGACGGGGACCUUGAACAAGGCCUUGGGGGUUUCAUAAGCACAGAGGAAGCUAUUAAUGUUCUUGUCAAAUCGUACGAAUCAUCAGAGAUUUUCCAGCAAGUUAAACAGCAAGUGGCUUAUAUUUGCGAAAAGAAAGGAAAAAUUCUGGAGAAGAAAGGAAGUCAGGCAAGCUUCAUCACCCAAUGCAUUGUUCUUACAAAGAGAUCCUUCGUGAACAUGUGUCGUGACCUAGGCUAUUACUGGCUUCGCCUCGCAAUCUACAUUGCAUUGUGCUUAUGUGUCGGGACUAUCUUCCAUGACAUUGGCUUCACGUAUGGUUCAAUUCAGGCUAGAGGCUCAAUGCUUAUGUUUGUGGCCGCGUUCUUGACUUUCAUGGCAAUUGGUGGAUUCCCUUCUUUUGUUGAGGAUAUGAAGGUUAGCCUGCUCUAAUAAUGAUCUUGUCAAGCCACACGAUUUCAAUGACUGACUGAAUUUAAUUUCCUUCUCCGAAUUCGGAUCUUCGAACGAGAAAGAUUAAAUGGGCACUAUGGUGUUGGUGCAUUCGUUGUUGGAAACACAUUUUCUUCUAUUCCUUACCUGUUAAUUAUCUCUUUAGUCCCUGGAGCCAUAGCUUAUUACCUAGUUGGCCUUCAAAAGAGUUUUCAACACUUUGCCUACUUUGCACUGCUACUCUUUGCAUGCAUGAUGCUGGUAGAAAGCCUAAUGAUGACAGUUGCAAGUAUAGUGCCAGAUUUCCUGAUGGGUAUCAUAACAGGUGCUGGAAUUCAAGGAGUGAUGAUGCUAAAUGGAGGUUUCUUUCGCUUGCCUGACGAUCUUCCCAAGCCUUUUUGGAGGUACCCAAUGUACUAUAUUGCAUUCCACAAGUAUGCAAACCAAGGAUUCUACAAGAAUGAGUUUGAAGGAUUGACAUUCCCAAAUAAUCAAGUCGGAGGGUCGCCUACCAUUACUGGUGAAGAAAUUUUGCGAAACAUUUGGCAAGUAGAGAUGAGUUACUCAAAAUGGAUUGAUAUCGCUAUCUUGUUUGGUAUGGUGGUUCUUUAUCGCCUCAUGUUCUUGGGAAUCAUAAAAAUUAUUGAAAAGGUUAAGCCAAUCAUCAAAGCUGUCACGUCUGUUCCUCCUACACAAGUCCAGACAGAUACAUGAGAAUCCCUCUCCUUCACUUGAAAUUGAAUGAAAAUGAGAUUUGUGGGGUUCAUGAUUUAGUUUAGAGAAAUUCCAUCAGGGGAUGAUUAUUUAUUAUGUAUGUGUAUUAUAAUAACAGUACAAUGGAUUUUUUGUGUCUAGAGUUUAGACCUGGUUCAUUAUGAAUAUAAAAAUAUAUAAUGAGAUCUACCUGUUGAACAUAUAAAAUCUAUAUAUAUU
RNAcentral lists this unclassified non-coding RNA (2541 nucleotides) under Hevea brasiliensis (rubber tree). The record is from RNAcentral. Lineage: Eukaryota; Viridiplantae; Streptophyta; Magnoliopsida; Malpighiales; Euphorbiaceae.